Helianthus annuus (common sunflower) is the source of this 1822-nucleotide long non-coding RNA. RefSeq lists it as uncharacterized. The record is from RefSeq and is a predicted model, not a curated record. NCBI's taxonomy places the organism in Eukaryota, Viridiplantae, Streptophyta, Magnoliopsida, Asterales, Asteraceae. The transcript has 8 exons.
CCCCACCCCAAAUCAAUCUGUGUGAGCUCCUCUCUCAAUCCCAAUCGAUUCACAAAUCUUUAAGACGUCUACCACAUCAUAAUGAACGGCUGAGCACCACACCACCCUCCCACCACUGCACAACCACACCUUUUUAGAAGCCCCCUCGUCCUCAUUCAACAGCCCAUCAUCCUCGUUCAGCAACCCAAUCAUCCUCGUUCAAAAGCCCCUAAGUUUGUUAGGUAUUGUUCUGCAUUGGCCAUCAACUUUGAACAGCAACUCAAUCAAAGCUUCACUGAGGCAACAAUACGAUGGAGAACACCCAUACAAGAUUAUUCAAGAAAACUGACUCCGCAAAAGUAACAAAUAUUGUGAUUAUGACAGUUGACAUCAAAUGUCUACAGCCAACUAUCAUAUAAAACUACCAGAUAUACCUAAACCCAUCAAAUGUCAUGCUUCGAGCAGAUGCCAAAACUGUUGUAGUUGAAGUGCAUGAAACAAACAGGAGUUGAAAACAAAACUCAAGGAGAAACAUGAUACUUUUAAUUCUAAUAAGCCGAACGAGGAUAAGGUUGUACUCAGAAGGAUAAUUACCGAAGGGGUUAGGCUUGAUAGAAGGCGUCUUGAUGAGGUUUGGAAGCAUCAUUGCAUACAUGAGAACCCAAUAGGCAAGAAGCUUUCCCAGAAUCGUUGCAGUGGCGUCACUAAAAGUAUCCAAAGAUAAUAACGCCUAUCAACUGACAUCAACACCAACAACUCACCUGUACUUGAUUUCCAACUAUUGACUUAGCUCAAACGAUUGCCACAAGAAUGCAAUGGCCGAUAAUGUUCUACCCCAUACCGUAAUCUUUGGAGAAUAGUGGCCGAAUGGACGGGAAACCAAGGGGAAGGAAGUCGGUAGGAGGGUGGUUCAUCUUCAAGCACUCGCUUUUAAGGUAUUGAUUUUCAUGGAUUUUUCAUUAGGUUAUAUGAUCUCACUUUUGUCAUGGAGUUUUGUUCAUAGGUCGUCAACAUUUUAGGUGUGAUUUGCAACUGAAGGUUGGACGCCUCUGUUAAUUAGACAAAAGAAUGUCGGUUUGUGUAAGUUGAUUCUUCCCAUACUGGUUUAAAUCAUUUAUGCAUCUGUUGUGGAGUCUUGUUCAUUGGUCAUUGAGCUUUAGGUUUUCUAUUUGUGGAGUGUUGAAGGCUAAAAAAGACAACCGAUGUGCCUUCUUAAAUGUGAACACAAUCAGUGGUCAAAUGUGUAGAGAAAUGAGAGCAGAAGUUGAAGAACAUAUUAAGACUAUGGUGCGUUAUCAUGACGAUAAAGAAUUCAUCCUUGCACCUUAUUGGGCCAAUGGACAUUGGAAUUUGUUCAUUAUUGCCAUAAAAGUACUACGGGUAUAUAUUUUAGAUUCACUAUUUAAAGAGGGCAACAAGAAUCCUAGCCACUAUCGUCUUACAAGUGUGAUUCAAAGCGCCUUGCUGCCAAUAAAACCCACAUUUGAUAUGGUUAAUUGCAAUCAACAAGCUGAGACAUGAGAAUGCGGCUAUAUACUUCUUCAAUCUAUGUUCGACUUUGUCAAUGUGUAUCAAAGGCAAUUUCCCAAAAUGCGGAACGACAUGAAGAGGCUACAGAUGAAGAUAUAGAAAAGAAGUUGAAGGAAUUGAUGCCGAUUUUAUUUGACGGGUUGGGCAUUCCUUACUUUAAAGUUUGUUUAUGGUUUUGAAUAGAUUAAGUAGUGAAUUGUUAUUUUACCAAUUAAUAUUGUAGACUUUCGGGUUGAAUGUGUUUUGGGUCACGGUUUACUUGUCCGGAUUUGACUACGUUGAAUAUAUAAAAGGAUUGAUUGGAUUUGACGUC